GCCUGGGUGGCUCAGUCGGUUGAGCAUCUGACUUCAGCUCAGGUCAUGAUAUCACGGUUCGUGAGUUCAAGCCCCACGUUGGGCU
RNAcentral lists this transfer RNA (85 nucleotides) under Felis catus (domestic cat). It matches the Rfam family "tRNA". Rfam says of the family: Transfer RNA (tRNA) molecules are approximately 80 nucleotides in length. Their secondary structure includes four short double-helical elements and three loops (D, anti-codon, and T loops). Further hydrogen bonds mediate the characteristic L-shaped molecular structure. tRNAs have two regions of fundamental functional importance: the anti-codon, which is responsible for specific mRNA codon recognition, and the 3' end, to which the tRNAs corresponding amino acid is attached (by aminoacyl-tRNA synthetases). tRNAs cope with the degeneracy of the genetic code in two manners: having more than one tRNA (with a specific anti-codon) for a particular amino acid; and 'wobble' base-pairing, i.e. permitting non-standard base-pairing at the 3rd anti-codon position. The record is from Rfam by way of RNAcentral. Lineage: Eukaryota; Metazoa; Chordata; Mammalia; Carnivora; Felidae.